AAAAUAGGGACAAAACUUAAAACAGAAACAGGGAGCCAUGACACCGUGAUACUGAAGCAUACUACACACCAAACCUCAAAAGAUAUUUCACUAGGAAGGAUGAAUAUUGUAUCCUAAACAACCUAUAAUACAGAACUUGAGCAUUUUCGGUUGUGCUUACAAGCAAGUGAUACUCAAAGUUAUUUAUUUUGCCAAGCAUAAUUUUAAAAGUUAUCUUUUUACCAACAAAACUUAUUUUCCUAGAACGCAAGUCUUCAAUUAGAGCACAUAAGAGCAUUUUUAGCUUAAAAAUGAAGUAGGCUUAGAAGAAGGUAAAGUAACUUUCAACUAACUAUUUGUCCCCAAAUAUGUUUAGAUAACUUACUUCUCUCUUACUUUUAAGUAAAAUUGUAUUUGUUAAAAGUAUUUCUUAACUCCCAUAAAACAAGUAUUAUUUCUAAAUUCCACCAAUAAAAGAAGCUAUUUAUUUUUAAAUCUUAUUUUCUUAAGUAAACUUUUGAAGCUAGCUCUUGCUUUCUAGAAAAGUAACUUUUUUAAGAUACAUGCUCUAUGUAACAUCUAGGUGAUCAACAACAAUACUAGCAACUUGUACCAUAAAAUGUUGUAGUCACAUCAUUAGAAGUUCCGCUUACAUUAAUUAAUAAGAAACUUGCAUCUAUAGAAGCAGCUAAUGGUAUAAUAGAUGGCAAACUCAUUAAGCAGUAGCCAGGAACAUAACUUAAUAUAGAGAAAGGGAGCCAUGACACCAUGAUAUUGAAGCGGACUACUACUUACCAAACUAAUGAUACCAGUUCACUAUCAGAUAAAUGAGAAGACUAUGAUCUCUGUCCGUUACAAAUAUGGCAAUCAUAUUUACUAAACCAACCUUCCAGGUGUCUCCACAAAUCACAUGAACCUCCUGUUAUGAACAGGCAAAUCAAGAUGCAGAGGUCUACGACAAUCCAGCAUGGAGUGCCUAUCAAGAGAUGACUAUGAUAAUUCUGCAAUUCAUGUACAAUACGCUC
This 1004-nucleotide long non-coding RNA is filed under the name Olea europaea (common olive). Its description in RNAcentral is "long non-coding RNA (OEUR_LNC013876)". Lineage: Eukaryota; Viridiplantae; Streptophyta; Magnoliopsida; Lamiales; Oleaceae. The record is from RNAcentral.